CUUCGGGGGGAAGCCGGUGGAAUGAGCGGCGGACGGGUGAGUAACACGUGGGCAACCUGCCUUUCAGACCGGAAUAACCCCGGGAAACCGGGGCUAAUGCCGGAUAAUCAAGCGGUUCGCAUGAACCGCUUGUAAAAGGGGGGAGUUUUCUCCUCCCACUGGAAGAUGGGCCCGCGGCGCAUUAGCUUGUUGGUGGGGUAACGGCCUACCAAGGCGACGAUGCGUAGCCGACCUGAGAGGGUGAUCGGCCACACUGGAACUGAGACACGGUCCAGACUCCUACGGGAGGCAGCAGUAGGGAAUCAUCCGCAAUGGGCGAAAGCCUGACGGUGCAACGCCGCGUGAACGAAGAAGGUUUUCGGAUCGUAAAGUUCUGUUGUGAGGGAAGAACACGUGCCGGUCGAACAGGCCGGCACCUUGACGGUACCUCACGAGAAAGCCCCGGCUAACUACGUGCCAGCAGCCGCGGUAAUACGUAGGGGGCAAGCGUUGUCCGGAAUUAUUGGGCGUAAAGCGCACGCAGGCGGUCUCGUAAGUCUGAUGUGAAAGCCCACGGCUCAACCGUGGAGGGUCAUUGGAAACUGGGAGACUUGAGUGUAGGAGAGGAAAGUGGAAUUCCACGUGUAGCGGUGAAAUGCGUAGAUAUGUGGAGGAACACCAGUGGCGAAGGCGACUUUCUGGCCUACAACUGACGCUGAGGUGCGAAAGCGUGGGGAGCAAACAGGAUUAGAUACCCUGGUAGUCCACGCCGUAAACGUUGAGUGCUAGGUGUUAGGGGUUUCGAUGCCCUUAGUGCCGAAGUUAACACAUUAAGCACUCCGCCUGGGGAGUACGGCCGCAAGGCUGAAACUCAAAGGAAUUGACGGGGGCCCGCACAAGCAGUGGAGCAUGUGGUUUAAUUCGACGCAACGCGAAGAACCUUACCAGGUCUUGACAUCCUUUGCCCGCUCUGGAGACAGAGUUUUCCCCUUCGGGGGACAAAGUGACAGGUGGGUGCAUGGUUGUCGUCAGCUCGUGUCGUGAGAUGUUGGGUUAAGUCCCGCAACGAGCGCAACCCUUGACCUUAGUUGCCAGCAUUCAGUUGGGCACUCUAGGGUGACUGCCGGUGACAAACCGGAAG
This 1120-nucleotide ribosomal RNA is filed under the name Alkalicoccus saliphilus. Its description in RNAcentral is "bacterial SSU rRNA". It matches the Rfam family "Bacterial small subunit ribosomal RNA", at positions 71 to 1169 of the family's 1533-position model. The record is from RNAcentral. Lineage: Bacteria; Bacillati; Bacillota; Bacilli; Caryophanales; Bacillaceae.